CAUGCAAGUCGAGGGGUAGAAGGCUUCGGCCUUUGAGACCGGCGCACGGGUGCGUAACGCGUAUGCAAUCUGCCUUACACUAAGGGAUAGCCCAGAGAAAUUUGGAUUAAUACCUUAUAGUAUAUUUAUGUGGCAUCACAUGAUUAUUAAAGAUUUAUUGGUGUAAGAUGAGCAUGCGUCCCAUUAGCUAGUUGGUAUGGUAACGGCAUGCCAAGGCUAUGAUGGGUAGGGGUCCUGAGAGGGAGAUCCCCCACACUGGUACUGAGACACGGACCAGACUCCUACGGGAGGCAGCAGUGAGGAAUAUUGGUCAAUGGGCGCAAGCCUGAACCAGCCAUGCCGCGUGCAGGAUGAAGCAUCUAUGGUGUGUAAACUGCUUUUGUACGGGAAGAAACAACUCUUCGUGAAGAGUCUUGACGGUACCGUAAGAAUAAGGAUCGGCUAACUCCGUGCCAGCAGCCGCGGUAAUACGGAGGAUCCAAGCGUUAUCCGGAAUCAUUGGGUUUAAAGGGUCCGUAGGCGGUUUUGUAAGUCAGUGGUGAAAUCCGGCAGCUUAACUGUCGAACUGCCAUUGAUACUGCAGGACUUGAAUUACUGUGAAGUAACUAGAAUAUGUAGUGUAGCGGUGAAAUGCUUAGAUAUUACAGGAAAUACCAAUUGC
RNAcentral lists this ribosomal RNA (661 nucleotides) under uncultured bacterium. RNAcentral's name for it is "bacterial SSU rRNA". It matches the Rfam family "Bacterial small subunit ribosomal RNA", at positions 54 to 716 of the family's 1533-position model. The record is from RNAcentral.